CCAACAUGAAGCAAUUCCGAAUUGUAAGCAUUUUUAUAAACAUAAUUAUUUUAAUAAAAAUCGUGGAAAACGUGCCCGUACACAAAUGGUAUAAAGAGGACGAUUUUGCACCAUUUUUCAUAGAGACUGAAAUGAAAUACAACUGGUUUGAAGCCUGGAAUGAAUGCUCAGGCAAAAAUAUGUCCCUGGUAGCCGUUAAUACACCAGAAAAAAAUGCCGCUUUAGUAAAAAUAUUGAGAACAAAAUUUGAUAAACGUUACAAUAUCUGGAUUGGUGG
Molecule: long non-coding RNA, 277 nt
Organism: Calliphora vicina (urban bluebottle blowfly)
Lineage: Eukaryota; Metazoa; Arthropoda; Insecta; Diptera; Calliphoridae
Exons: 3
Source: RefSeq, a predicted model, not a curated record